ACUCCUACGGGAGGCAGCAGUGGGGAAUCUUGGACAAUGGGGGCGAAACCCUGAUCCAGCCAUGCCGCGUGAGUGAUGAAGGCCUUAGGUCGUAAAGCUCUUUCGCCUGUGAUGAUAAUGACAGUAGCAGGUAAAGAAACCCCGGCUAACUCCGUGCCAGCAGCCGCGGUAAUACGGAGGGGUUAGCGUUGUUCGGAAUUACUGGGGCGUAAAGCGCGCGUAGGCGGAUUAGUCAGUUAGAGGUGAAAUCCCAGGGCUCAACCCUGGAACUGCCUUUAAUACUGCUAGUCUUGAGUUCGAGAGAGGUGAGUGGAAUUCCGAGUGUAGAGGUGAAAUUCGUAGAUAUUCGGAGGAACACCAGUGGCGAAGGCGGCUCACUGGCUCGAUACUGACGCUGAGGUGCGAAAGUGUGGGGAGCAAACAGGAUUAGAUACCCUGGUAGCGACUGA
This 449-nucleotide ribosomal RNA is filed under the name uncultured bacterium. Its description in RNAcentral is "bacterial SSU rRNA". It matches the Rfam family "Bacterial small subunit ribosomal RNA", at positions 335 to 799 of the family's 1533-position model. The record is from RNAcentral.